Molecule: ribosomal RNA, 301 nt
Filed under: uncultured bacterium
Lineage: Bacteria
Description: partial 16S ribosomal RNA
Rfam family: Bacterial small subunit ribosomal RNA
Source: RNAcentral
CAGUCGCCACGGGAAUACGGAGGGUGCAAGCGUUAAUCGGAAUUACUGGGCGUAAAGCGCACGCAGGCGGUCUGUCAAGUCAGAUGUGAAAUCCCCGGGCUUAACCUGGGAACUGCAUUUGAAACUGGCAGGCUAGAGUCUUGUAGAGGGGGGUAGAAUUCCAGGUGUAGCGGUGAAAUGCGUAGAGAUCUGGAGGAAUACCGGUGGCGAAGGCGGCCCCCUGGACAAAGACUGACGCUCAGGUGCGAAAGCGUGGGGAGCAAACAGGAUUAGAUACCCCUGUAGUCCCUGUCUCUUAUAU